CUCUCUGAGACUAGCAGACGCUCUUUGCUGAAGGGAGGUGUAGGAGGGUCGUGGCCAUCCUCGUUAGUCUCUCCUGUGUGAAUACCCUGUAGGGAGAGAUCCUUAGUUUAUGUGCCGCUAGUGCGGACAGGGCAUCCUCCUCCCUGUGUGUGUGAUUGGAAAAUGGGUGGGGGACAGUCUAAGGAUUCCCUCUCACCCACUAAGGGUACCCCAGCUUAUUGGUUCAUGUACGUACAUUAUGGUACUAAAACCUGCAGGUAUUUAGAGAAUUGAAAUCAUUACACGUGUGAAAAUUCAUCUAAACAAUGCCCACUAGAAGGUACCUUCAAUCUAGAUAAGAUCAUACAUCUCAGAGGAGCUUUUAAUCACCAAAAAGCCUCUGACACAAUGGGAGCAAUUUGUCUAUUGAGGAAAGGAACGGGUUAAUUUGAAAUUCAGCUUGGUCCAGAGAUAGAGAAAGUUAAUCUGCGUUCAAGGUCAAGAAUCAAUGCAGACCAGGCUAAGUACAAAGAGAAACUGCUUUCAGCCCCAGCUGACUGUGAAAAAAUAUAGACAUAGUCAAACCAAAGGCAAUACAAGUUACAGUGCUGAGAUUACAUUUGCAAAGCUUAACUGUCCAGUGAGAUCCAACAGUCUGCCUUUGCGACCCUGGAGCUGGCGUGGUUUGGGGAAGCUGAAGAAGCCACAGGCAGCCGGCCUGGACUGGAAUCACUGAAAAGAUGCCCCAGGAGACCUCAGGGUGUAAAAGAACUGCCCUCCCAAGAGAGGAAGCAAGUUGGAGAUUGCACAGCACCUUCUCUGAACGUUAUACACAGACGUGGCCAGUCUGGACGUACGUGUAUCACUGGGUGUUUGAAAGCAGGAGUUAGAAGUAAAAGGCAAUCAAAGUCUGGGAAAGUUAAUUGUGUCCCUUUUUACAUAAGAAUUUUUAAGCUGUGGAUAGCUUGGAUCUGGAAGCAAGCCAGAAAGCAUCUGUAUUAAUGCAAUUUUCUAACUAAGGUAGAAGCCACUGAAACCUGGGCUGCCUAUGAAACAAAUACAAGGAAAUAUGGGGUAAUAUGGGGUAAUUCCUCUGUUUUGUCUAAAAUCAACAAGAGUAUGUGUGAAGCCAAGAAGGGGAGAAGGAAAAAGAACAGAACGAGUUAACUGAGGAAAAAUAGCUAGCAAGCUCAGUCCAAAGAUAAGAUGCUGGCACCAUCCAAGGACACUGCCCACAGCUAAGACUUGGCUGAUAGCCAAGAAAAGGGGGGCCUGAAUGUGCCCAAGCAACUAUGAGAUCUUCAAAACACUGCCAGGCAUUAAUGAAAUGUGUUAGGUUUCUUUUCUCACAGAUAAAAGAAGUGCUACCCAAAGACCCUAGCAGCCCUGCCAUUCAUUGAAACAAGGAGACUGAGUCUACGUAAAGUCCAUCAACGAAAGACUGCUUUGGCUCCACACUGGAAAGGCCCUUUCCAAGUCCUGUUGACCACCACCACCACUGUGAAGUGCCAAGGACUACCUGCCUGGACCCAUGUUUCUCACUGUAAAAAGACCCCUCCACCUCGGGAGGACUCUCCGACUGAUGAUAAGCCUAUUUCUCCUUCUAGCUCUGCUGUGUCUUCUGGACAGCAGGAAAAAGAAAGAAAGAAAAAAAGACAAGGUGAAGUACUAGUAACCUCUCCCUUGUCCACUGACAGACCUACUGUGCCUCUGGAUUUUUCUAGAAGAAGCAAAACCAUUACAGGGUGAUGUGCUAGUAACCUCUCCCCUGUAUGAUGCUAAACCACUCUUUCAGGAAAAGAGAAGAAGGAACACUUGCUUCACUGAAACCACAAAGUCCAGGGAUUCCUGACUACAAGAGACAUUAAGAACUGACCCUGGUGAAGAAACAAAGAAUUAUACGCUGGCAGGAAGAAACUUGUGGGACCCAUGCUUGGGAACGUGGUAUUGAUUGGAUUUUGGGGUUUAUUCUACAGACUGCGCCCUGUGUUUUGGAUAAGUCCUUCAGCAUGUAUUGCCCUCCCUAAUUGGAUUUUAAAUGAUAAGUACCAAAGGCACCUUGUUGCCAUUGCCCCUGCCAUCUUCUCCAUUACACUAUUACCCCGUAACACAUCCAAAUACAGACCAUGCCAUAUAUUUGAUAAAACCAAUGACUAAGGCCUUCACACUUCAGUGAUUUAUUUAAAUAUUGUUUGAAAAAAUAUAUUUUUAAGGUUCAGGAUAUCCCAUAUAAGUGAACAAUUGAAUGGAUCAGUGGAGAUAAAAGUAUAUAUCACUACCAGUGAACCCCAAGAAUUUAUAAUUGCUCACAGGGGGCUGCCAUUAGAUUAGCACAACAGAGGGCUUGGGUUAUUUCCUCUAGAAAGAAGAGAGACUUGACCGGAUCCCUUUGGGAUGGGGCCAAUAAUGCAGCAGCAGUUUGGAAUAUUUUUAAGAACCAAGAACAUGAUGAGAAAUUGGGGCAACUAGAGAAGGCCAUUGGCCUUGUUUCUGGAGCACAACUAACCCAGGUACAGGCUGGAGUUGGUGAGUUACAUGUUAUCUCCGCCCUUAGUUCUAUGACCCAGAAAUUGCUGACAGAGAUGGUAUUGAAUAUCACUGAGGCUGGGAAGGCAUUGCAGUGGGAUCUAGCAUGCUCAGAGAUUCAGGAUUUCUUGAAUGACCAGCUAAUGGCCAUUCGGAAUGAUCUAGAGCACCAGGCUUGGCCCACUGCCCUUAGACACAUCAGGAGUACCAUCUGAUCUGUGGCCAUGGAGACAUACUUGGAAACUUUCUGGGUGGAAGAGUGGACAUUCUCAGUGCUCCUUCCAAGCAUAUGGACCAGUUCAGGGGGUGUGGGCUCCCACAUACCGAAUCCUGCCGGGUCCAUGGGGAGGAUGCAUGUGGGAUUGGGUAAUUCACCGAGACAUCUGGGAAAUUAGACCUCCUGGUAUGCCCAAUCGAUUUUUAGUCAGUGCUCCUGGGAUUACAUCUGACAUUUGGAUGGGGUUAGGGAGUCAAUGGACAUUUUGCCCGUUACAACCCCCACAGCUUCAGUGUAUCCGUAAACUGAAGCCAGGAGAAGUUGUUACUCUUCAUGACUACGUUUGCUGGGAGGGUAGGGGACAAGGAACUACCCUAACAGGACACUUAUUUUUUAAGCUAAUGAUAGCUGUGUGUAUGUUAAAGCCACCACAUUGCAAGACAUACAUUUUAGUCUCACUACCACUGCAGGCAAUCAUAUUAUUUACUGGCCUGCAGAUAGAAUUUUGCAAGUAGUCCUUAGGUUCCAGAUACCCUUUAAUUGGACUAGUUUAGUACCUGAUCGAUUUCAAAAUUUGCUUUCACUGUUACCAGAGGUUCAGAAAAUCUCUGAAGUACAAGGGCAAAUUCACAUGCUUCAAAAUAUGUAUCAAGUUAAAAAGUAUGCCUUUCAGACAGCUUAUAGAGUAUCCACCUUAUGUAUUAAGUAUGAUGUAUUGUGUUAUAUGACUAAGAUUGUACAACAACCCCAUCAUAUUAUCGCUAUGGGAAUGUUAUUGCUUGUGUUGUGCAGGAGUAUGUUGUUGUUGUUGUUGUAAAGGACGUAAUAAUACCUUUCAUGUCCAUGCUCAUCAUGCAUUGUCAUUACAUCCAAUCAAAACCCCUAAGGUUGAAGCAUCUGAUGUAGAAUCUGAAUUCCGAGAUUUAAUGCAAAUAGAGAUUUGAAA
This is a long non-coding RNA of Malaclemys terrapin pileata, 3668 nucleotides long. RefSeq lists it as uncharacterized. The record is from RefSeq and is a predicted model, not a curated record. The transcript is spliced from 2 exons. NCBI's taxonomy places the organism in Eukaryota, Metazoa, Chordata, Testudines, Emydidae.